RNAcentral lists this long non-coding RNA (236 nucleotides) under Durio zibethinus. Its description in RNAcentral is "long non-coding RNA (DZIB_LNC000824)". The record is from RNAcentral. Lineage: Eukaryota; Viridiplantae; Streptophyta; Magnoliopsida; Malvales; Malvaceae.
GUAAAGUUAUAUAGUAUGUGUGUGAAUAUAUCUUGUUUGUGGUUUAUUAGCGCACUGUUUGGAUUUUUAGAAGUGUAAUUUGGUUUUAGGUUUACUUUUUAUUAUCUUCCUAUUAAGGUUGGUGAAAUUUUUGUUAAUAAAAAUGAUCUUAGCUAAUAGAAAUAUCUUGUGAAGUUGUUGAUCAUGUAUUGAAUUUUUUUUUUAGCUUAUACAAGUUCAAGAUUUAUGUUAAUGGC